GACGAACGCUGGCGGCGUGCCUAAUACAUGCAAGUAGAACGCUGAAGGAGGAGCUUGCUUCUCUGGAUGAGUUGCGAACGGGUGAGUAACGCGUAGGUAACCUGCCUGGUAGCGGGGGAUAACUAUUGGAAACGAUAGCUAAUACCGCAUAAUAGUAGAUGUUGCAUGACAUUUACUUAAAAGGUGCAAUCGCAUCACUACCAGAUGGACCUGCGUUGUAUUAGCUAGUUGGUGGGGUAACGGCUCACCAAGGCGACGAUACAUAGCCGACCGGAGAGGGGAAUCGGCCAAACUGGGACGGAGACACGGCCCAGACGCCUACGGGAGGCAGCAGGAGGGAAACUUCGGAAAUGGACGAAAGUCUGACCGAGCAACGCCGCGUGAGGGAAGAAGGUUUUCGGAUCGUAAAGCUCUGUUGUAAGAGAAGAACGAGUGUGAGAGUGGAAAGUUCACACUGUGACGGUAUCUUACCAGAAAGGGACGGCUAACUACGUG
RNAcentral lists this ribosomal RNA (495 nucleotides) under uncultured bacterium. RNAcentral's name for it is "partial 16S ribosomal RNA". It matches the Rfam family "Bacterial small subunit ribosomal RNA", at positions 28 to 507 of the family's 1533-position model. The record is from RNAcentral.